GACAGAGGGUGCAAACGUUGCUCGGAAUUACUGGGCGUAAAGCGCGUGUAGGCGGAUCGGUGUGUCGGAUGUGAAAUCCCCGGGCUCAACCCGGGAACUGCAUUCGAAACUGCCGAUCUUGAGUGCCGGAGAGGGUAGCGGAAUUCCUGGUGUAGAGGUGAAAUUCGUAGAUAUCAGGAGGAACACCGGUGGCGAAGGCGGCUACCUGGACGGCAACUGACGCUUAGGCGCGAAAGCGUGGGGAGCAAACAGG
Molecule: ribosomal RNA, 253 nt
Filed under: uncultured bacterium
Lineage: Bacteria
Description: partial 16S ribosomal RNA
Rfam family: Bacterial small subunit ribosomal RNA
Source: RNAcentral